AAGGGGAGGAACUCUGACCGAGCGACGCCGCGUGAACAAUGAAGUACUUCGGUAUGUAAAGUUCUUUUAUUGAAAAAGAAAAAAUAGUGGAAAAACUAUCUUGACAUUAUUCAAUGAAUAAGCCCCGGCUAAUUAUGUGCCAGCAGCCGCGGUAAUACAUAAGGGGCGAGCGUUAUCCGGAAUUAUUGGGCGUAAAGGGUGCGUAGGCGGUUUGAUAAGUCUAUAGUUUAAAUGCAGUGCUUAACGCUGUAGCGCUAUAGAAACUGUCUGACUAGAGUUAGAUAGAGGCAAGCGGAAUUCCAUGUGUAGCGGUAAAAUGCGUAAAUAUAUGGAGGAACACCAGAGGCGUAGGCGGCUUGCUGGGUCUUAACUGACGCUGAGGCACGAAAGCGUGGGGAGCAAACAGGAUUAGAUACCCUGGUAGUCCACGCCGUAAACGAUGAGUACUAAGUGUCGGGUUUCGACUCGGUACUGAAGUUAACACAUUAAGUACUCCGCCUGAGUAGUACGUACGCAAGUAUGAAACUUAAAGGAAUUGACGGGACCCCGCACAAGCGGUGGAUCAUGUUGUUUAAUUCGAAGAUACACGAAAAACCUUACCAGGUCUUGACAUAAUUUUGCGACAUUAUAGAAAUAUAAUGAAGGUUAUCAGAAUUACAGGUGGUGCAUGGUUGUCGUCAGCUCGUGUCGUGAGAUGUUAGGUUAAGUCCUAAAACGAGCGCAACCCUUGUCGUUAGUUGCGACCACGUAAUGGUGAGCACUUUAGCGAGACUGCCAAUGAAAAAUUGGAGGAAGGUGAGGAUUACGUCAAAUCAUCAUGCCCCUUAUGAUCUGGGCUACAAACGUGAUACAAUGGCUGUUACAAGAAGA
This 870-nucleotide ribosomal RNA is filed under the name Pigeon pea witches'-broom phytoplasma. RNAcentral describes it as "bacterial SSU rRNA". It matches the Rfam family "Bacterial small subunit ribosomal RNA", at positions 370 to 1247 of the family's 1533-position model. The record is from RNAcentral. Lineage: Bacteria; Bacillati; Mycoplasmatota; Mollicutes; Acholeplasmatales; Acholeplasmataceae.